RNAcentral lists this long non-coding RNA (633 nucleotides) under Bemisia tabaci. RNAcentral's name for it is "lncRNA ENSSSA3NGG006890". The record is from RNAcentral. Lineage: Eukaryota; Metazoa; Arthropoda; Insecta; Hemiptera; Aleyrodidae.
AUGAGAGAUCAACAUGUCCAAUCCUGGUCCACCGGUUUCUGUGAGAAACUCUUCGCUUCCGCAGAAUGUGAAUGCACCCAGGAAUCCAUGGACUGGCCCAUCAUACCAGCAAAUGGUCACCUCAAACUACUACGAACCAGAAUGUUCAAGCCCCAGUUCAGAAAAUGGGAGUCGCAUUUAUCAUGUGAUAGAUGGACCAGGUCCUCCCAUAAACUACGAUGCCAAUGGAACAAAACCUGCAUCCUCAAAAUUCGCAAACAACCUGCACCAGUACAAAAUCAUCACUUGGUACCACACCCGCAAGGUGUGACAACAAUGAAGAAGUUACCUCCUCUGGAACAACUCCCUCGCAUGCCGCACCUCCAAGCUAGUCAUGAUUCUGUCCGCGGCCCUCCACAGUUCUAUACACGGGACUCAUUUCCCCGGCACUUUCGACCACCAAGCCAAGGAGAUUAUUUGGAAGAAAUACGACCUCAGCCGCCAUUUUAUAAUGUGGGGAGUGGUCGAACCUCACGGGCCACAUUGGACGUACCACUGUCAUCAACCACCUCCGAUGACGAUGGAGGAGGGAUUGAUGCUUGCGGAGGACAUUGUGUUGCAUUUGAGAACUUUUGCCACUAUGUCUCCAGGUAA